RNAcentral lists this long non-coding RNA (3754 nucleotides) under Sus scrofa (pig). Its description in RNAcentral is "lncRNA (ENSSSCG00050031051.1)". The record is from RNAcentral. Lineage: Eukaryota; Metazoa; Chordata; Mammalia; Artiodactyla; Suidae.
UUUUGUAAAAGACAAUGUAUGAAAGUAACAACUGCCUUUGUAAAUGAUACUCAAAACAGGAUGAUUUUCUAGACCAGGGCUUCUGCAUAAAAAUGGAGUCACAGGUGUGGGUGGAAUGCAUCUUAGGAAGAAACAGGCAGAAUACAUGUUAAAAAGGAACAUCAAUAUGCUCUUCAAGAUUAUAAGCCAACAUUGGCGUUGUCGUUGGGGGUGGGAUGCCGUAAGGAAACGAUAAGAAUGGUGAUGAUGCCUAGAGAGGCAAAGCAAUGAUUGGGAUAGCAGCACUGAAACGGAAGUACUGCUUAGAUAGGGUAAUGGCAAGACAGCAGAUAGAAAGAGCAUAUAAACAGGUUUGUGUGUGUAUGUAUAUAUCUCUCUGUCAUAUCAGGUACCAUGUUCAGAGAUUUCCAAUAUCGCUAUUCUGAAGACAAUUUUUAGAACUUAAUAUCAUUAGCCCCAUUUCACAGACGGGGAUACUGAGGCCAAAAACUUAAGCAUCUUGACAACAUGUCCAACACCAUGUAGACAUUGAGCAGUAGAACUGCGGUUGAGACCUAAUGAUGUCUGAAUGUACACCUGAGUCCCGUCAAACUCUAGUAUAUCCAUUCUCUUGUAUUUAUUAAGGAGAUAGGUGUCUGUAUUUAAAAACAAAACAACACCUGUCCAAUUGAAGGUAGAAGCACUAAGAACAACAUUUGGAAAAGAUUAAAGGGGUGAGAGAAAGAAGUGAUAUUACUCCGGUUCUGUAUCACAGAGUGCCAGGUCAGACAGAGGGGGUUUUAUGAUAUUUUUUCGAAGCUUGAGUUACAGAAUUAACAAGGGAGGUGAGACUUCAAAUGUCCAGACCUUGCAGUGAAUUUUGUUUUGGCUCAGAACACCAUGUGGUAAAAUCUAGACUUGCCUGUCGAACAAUUUUAAUCCUUCAAGGGUUAAAAAAAUAACCAAGGAAGCUAGAACACAAAGUUUAACUUCACAAGUGAAGAACAUUCAAAAUUGUUCUGGGAAGUGGCGGAAACCUGGGCAAAAGUCACAUUAUUUCAAAGCUCAGGGAACGAUGAGUUGGUAGUACAGUUUUUAUCUGUGCUUGAGAUGCCGAAUGGCUAAGAAGGUUUCUGUUGAAUAUCGAUUUUGAGACCCAUUAGGGAAUUUAGGUUUCUGGAGGUGUUGGGGUGGCAAGAUGGCUUCAUGUGUACUAAGUCUGCUCUAGCCUCUAAGAGUGAGAGUCCAUCUACAGAAUACAUUUGCAAUAUAUCAAGCUUUUUAUUAGCUAAAAUGUUAAGGUAUUCUGUUCAUAUGACAAGUCAGGGCUUUCCCACUCAAUGCUUAUGCAGUUCAUUUUAAAAAAUCUUAAAUGAAGGAUUUUGUUUGUUUCUACUAAACUCUGAUGUGAGCUGGUACCCACUGCUUCCUCUUGUCAAGAUUUAAUUCAGUGGGUAUGUGUGUAAAGGCCCUGGUGUGCAGAACUCUUGUGCUGAAUGAUGUAGGGAGAUGAUUGAUGCAAGAGUCUCAGGUUGGGGGUUAGCGAUGACUUUAAAAAAAACCAACAAAAACAAAUGUCUGUUAAAAGUUUUCCCUGUUAGAAGAGGGAGAGAAUACAUUCAGUUGUGUGCAGUCAGAAAAGAUAACCAGAUAACCUCUACACUGAGAAGACAAUGGUUACAUUCUGUCUUCCUGCCCUAGAAGCCAAUACAGUGCCAGGUGCACAAUCAAUCGAAAGCGGCACGUAAUAGGUGAUAAACGUUUUGUUAGGGAAACUUAAAAAAUGGGUCUUGAAGGAAAAACAGAUUUUGAUGGUUCAGAAAGGGAUGGAUGGGAAUACAUGGUAGUUGAAGGGCAAAUGUAGGUAAAUACACAGCUCCAAGUCAUAAUGAGCUUUUCGGUAAAGGUGAAUUGGUUAGUUUUUGUGGUAUAUGGGGGUAUAUUUUGGAAACUUCAAUGCUUAACAUAUUUAUAAGUCCAUUAUUUUCAAUAUCUUAUGCCAUUCAAGUCAUUAAAACAAAUAUUGUGAACAGAUCACUGACUUAAAGAUACUCUUAAAUCUUUAGAUUUUCAAUCUGAUAUUUUCAGAUCUAUUUAAAAUACUCACUAUACCACGUGCUUUCACCUGGAAUUGUUUCCCUUCUGCCUUAAAAGCUCCUUUGAGAAUUUCUUCAGUUCAGGUCUCCUGGUGAUAAGAUUCCUCAGAUGGUAUAUAAAGGACUUUAUAUUGUCUCUUUUUUGCAGGGUGUUUUCAUUGGGUACAGAAUUCUUGGAAAUUACUUUCAGUGCAUUAAAAAUAGCAUGUCUGAUAUUGUGUCUUCUGGCUGCCCUGAUUCUUUAGUCUUAUUUUUGCCAUUCAAAAACAGUCUCCUCUGUUAACUCUCUACCUCUGCCAACCUUUCAGCUUUAAUAAUGUUCACUAUGUGUUUCUGCAGUUUUAAGGUUUUGGUUUUUUUGUCUUUGGUUUUCAGCAGUUUUUCUAUAAUGGUCUAGGUAUGAAUUUCCUUGGGUUUACCUAACUCAAUGUGUGGCACUUCUUGAACCUUUGGCUUUGUUGUUGUUUAAAAAUAAAUUUUGGAAAAUUCCAGUCAUUGUCUUCAGAUAAUGCUUUUAGCCCAUUUUCUUCUGUCAUCUGCUAUUCUAAUUACAUGUAUAUUAACUUGGGUUUCAUAUGUUGCCUUUCCAGUUUUUUUCUUGAUGCUUUAAUCUGGAUACUUCCUCUUCACGUAGCAUCCACUUCACUUUAUCCAUUCAGGUAUACAUGGUAAGCUGUUAAACCCAUAUAUUGAAUACUUUCUUACAGUGUUUCUAUUUUAAAUUAGGUCUUUUUGAUUCACUUCACCCUGAAAUUCUUUGGAUGAUUCAUUAAACAUACUAAUCAGUUAUUCUAAAGUCAUCUGAUAACUACAAUGCCUGAAUUUCCUGUGGGUCUGUUUCUAUUGUUUCUUUGCCCUUCUUAAAUUUUUGGUUAGUUCUUAGUUUUAUAAGCGUGACUAUUUUAGAUGAAUGCUGGGCACUGCAUCUUAAAAGCAUAGCGAUGAUACUGAGCUCUGGGUGAUACCUUCUUCUGUUUACUUUUCUUCCUGGAGGUGGGCAGGGUGAAGACAGAACACCUAGAUACAUGUGGGAAUUAAGUUCUUCCAAAGGUAGCCUUGAGUCUGCAUGAGGGCUGCUGGGUUUCUGGUCUAUUAUGUGUACUGCUUUGAUUUAGCCCUUGGGAAUCCCAGCUGAAGGUCUGGGUAGUUACCCGGGCCCCUUUUCCCUAGCUGGCCAUGAACCAGACCAUCUUUGUGACUAGAUUUAGAUCAGGUGGUUUACUCCUGGAUGUUUUUUGAUACCUUGAUACCGUGUUGCUGUAAUUUCAAGUGACAGCUUGCCAUUAAGUUACUAAUUUUUUUUUCCCUGGCCUGAAUAAAAACAUCACAAUGUCUUACGUUUGCAUUUAAAGACACUUUCCAAGUUUUUCUUAAAUCAUUUAAUCAUCUCAAUAGCCGUCUGAUGAUCCGCAUUCCAUUGAAGUUCUUUCUGGAGACUUACCUGCAGUUGUAAUUGGUGAAUACAUGGGCUCUUUAUUCAUUUAUCUCCUGUCUGUGAAAUGAAUAUUGUGAAAAAUGCAGAUGGGAAGAAGAGGGGGGUACUUGAAAGGAAUUGAGAAGAUUGGAAUUUUAAAGGACUUGGAGACCCAUUGAUAAUGGAAUGAGGAGGGAGUGGUCAUUUUGCUGCAUAAACUGAGACAAUGGUGUUUCUCCUGUUAAAAAAAAAAAAAAGAAAAAAA